CAUAUGCAGAGAGAAAAUAAGAAGGGACAUUGUCACAGGUCUGUGAUAGGCUAUAGGCUGUAAGCUUUUUGAUCCCUUCACAAUGAUUUUGGAAUCAAUCCUAAAAAAAGAUUUAUGCUAGUCAGGUUUGUAUUUAAGAUGUUAUUUAGAACAUUUCUGUAGAUAAAAUAUAAUGCUUUUUUAGCAUGUGACAACCCGUGUAAUACGCUUUAGUCACGCAGGCGCCAUUUUGAAAUGAAAGCGAGGCUGAGGUGUGUAACCCCCGGAAGUCGCUAGUCAAAACAACAAUGCACAGGAUUUAAAUCGAUACAUGGGCAGAUGAAGACGUUGGACUUAAUUAUUAUUAUUAUUUAUUUUUUUAAAUGUUACUCGGCAAGUUAGUUAAGUACAAAUUCUUAUUUACAAUGACGGCCAACCCCGGCCAAACCCUAUCGACGCUGGGACAAUUGUGCGCCGCCCUAUGGGACUUCCAAUCACGACCGGUUGUGAUACAGUCUGUAGUGACGUCUCUAGCACUGAGAUGCAGUGCCUUAGACCGCUGCGCUACUCGGGAGCCCUGUCUGCCCAAGGGUAGUCAAACUAAGAGGUUACUGUAACUGGAUCGAGGGUUACAUUCACGAUGUACAAGGUGCAGUUCUACUCUGAAAGUCCAUUCAUCAUGGAGACUAAAUGCAACUGCAAAGCUGGCCCGGGACAGUGCAACCAUGCCCUCGGUUUACUGUAAACCAUAGCUCAUUACAUUCAAAUGAAACACCAACAGAAAGCUAAACAUGCUUGCCUCAAAAAUGGCACAUCCGACGUGUACGUCAGGCCUGCAGUCCAAACAUGUAAAUACUAUUAAAUUAUCGAAAGUAAAGCCACUGAGGAAAGGCAAUGCACCUGCCAACAAAGUCUGCAGGACUUGAGGGGAUUGUGCCAAAUAUGUAUUGUCCAGUCCCUACACCAUUGCCCAGUAAAUCGUUUGCUAGGAACCUUAUGCAAUAGGAAGCAACUGCCAGAUAUACACCUUGCUGGCCUCCAACUCAGAGCAUACUUUUUUUUGUGAAAUGCAACAAUUAUUUCCUUGAGAGUAUGAAAAGUUGGUAGACAUGAAGUCUAAGUUGGACCAAUACUUUUUUGAGCACUUCCUGCCAGCCCUUUGCAGGAAUAAAGAAAAAAUAAAUCACACUGGUUGGUGGACAGGUAUGUCUCUGGUCCACACUCCAGUCCAGUUGGUGGCGGUAAUGCACCUUAAAGUUGGUUGCCAACCACCAUAUAAAAUCCUCAAGAAGAAGGUGGAAAGGUGAUACCCUGGUGCCAUGGUAAUAAUAAAUAAUGUUGUAGUUUAUUCAGUGAUGUACAGGACUGGACUUUGAAAUGUUUGUAAUUCCAGUUACAUGAUUGAAGCUUAAAAUAUGUCUAUAAUUGAAGUUAGCCUAUUUGAUUGAAGCUUGAACUUUUAAUGAACUGUGAAAUUAUUGAUGCUGGAGACAUGUAUUUUGAUAAUUAAAUAGUCAUGUUUGAAAA
Salvelinus fontinalis (brook trout) is the source of this 1506-nucleotide long non-coding RNA. RefSeq lists it as uncharacterized. Lineage: Eukaryota; Metazoa; Chordata; Actinopteri; Salmoniformes; Salmonidae. The record is from RefSeq and is a predicted model, not a curated record. The transcript has 2 exons.